Molecule: ribosomal RNA, 468 nt
Filed under: uncultured bacterium
Lineage: Bacteria
Description: partial 16S ribosomal RNA
Rfam family: Bacterial small subunit ribosomal RNA
Source: RNAcentral
GACGAACGCUGGCGGCGUGCUUAACACAUGCAAGUCGAACGGAAAGGCCCUGCUUUUGUGGGGUGCUCGAGUGGCGAACGGGUGAGUAACACGUGAGUAACCUGCCCUUGACUUUGGGAUAACUUCAGGAAACUGGGGUUAAAACCGGAAAGGCGCCCCUCUUGUUUGGUGGGGGUUGGAUAGUUUCGGCGGUUGGGGAUGGACUCGCGGCUUAUCAGCUUGUUGGUGGGGUAGUGGCUUACCAAGGCUUUGACGGGUAGCCGGCCUGAGAGGGUGACCGGCCACAUUGGGACUGAGAUACGGCCCAGACUCCUACGGGAGGCAGCAGUGGGGAAUAUUGCACAAUGGGCGGAAGCCUGAUGCAGCAACGCCGCGUGCGGGAUGACGGCCUUCGGGUUGUAAACCGCUUUCGCCUGUGACGAAGCGUGAGUGACGGUAAUGGGUAAAGAAGCACCGGCUAACUACGUG